Non-coding RNA from Callithrix jacchus (white-tufted-ear marmoset), 1439 nucleotides. The record is from RefSeq and is a predicted model, not a curated record. Lineage: Eukaryota; Metazoa; Chordata; Mammalia; Primates; Cebidae.
CACUACAAUUCCCAGUACUGGCAAGGAUAUUGAGCAACUAGAUUUUUCAUACAUUGCUGGUGAGAAUGCAAAAUGGCAUAGCUUACUUUGAAAUAUAGUUUAUCAAUUUCUCAUAAAGUUAAACAUGUGCUUAAGAAAUGAUACAAUCCUAAUCCUAGGCAUUUUCCCCAGUGAAAUGAAAAAGUAUGUUCAUUAAAAAAUCUUUCAUUAACUUUUAUAGCAGGUUAUAUGUCCAUAAUGUCCCAAAACUGAAAACAUUCCAAAUAUCUUCAUUGCAUCAAAAGAUAAGCUGUGACACAUACUCACAAUGGAACACUAUUCAGCAAUAAAAAUGGAUGAACCAUUGAUACACACAAUAAUGUGAAUGAAUCUGAAAUAGAGUAUGCUAAGUGAAAGAAGCUAUACACAAUACAUUGCUGAUGUAUGAUUCUAUUUAUAUAGCAUAUGGGAAAAGGCAAAAACAUAGGGAGAGCAAACAAAUUACUGGUUUCCAUGGGGUGGGAGGAGGCAUUGAUUCUAAAUAAACACAAUGCAAGACUCAAAAGGGAGAGGAUAGGAGGAGGUAAGGGAUGAAAAUUACCUACUGGAUAUAAUGUACAAUAUUUACGUGAUGGAGGCACGAAAACUCAGACUUCUUCACUACAAAAUUCAUGCACAUAACCAAAAACCACUUGCACACCUAAAGCUACUGAAAUGUUGAAAUAUUUAAAAACAAUGACCCCCAGUGCACAAGACCAGUGAUGCUGGUAAGUGGGAUACGUAUGCCAAAGAGAAGCCAUAAAGUGCCCUCUUUAAGUGAAAAAGCAAAAGUUUUUGAUGAAGGACAAAAACUUAGUGAAUUUAGGGUUUAUUCUAGGUUUCAGGAAACAACUGGGGUCUUGAGAUGUAUUCAUGGAGAAGGGAGGACUUCUCUAUGUUGCAUCCAUGAAUAGAAGGAAAUCACUGCACUGGAUUUGGAAACUGGAAAUCAACAGGAGCCAACUCUAACAAAAUCCUGGAACAACUGACAAACCUCUAGAAACCAUCAUGCUACUCUCUAUCCUUCCAAUUCAAACGGUCAACAUUUAAGUGAAGAAUCCAUGCUUUAGCCUCAAAGUAUUGGAGUCCUCCUAUAACACUAGAAAGAUCAUGAGUCCACUGAGGAAGGAAAAAGUUAGCUUCACUUGACCAAGUUCCCACAUGGAUUAAGCAGCAGACUCCAAACCAAGACCAGAAAGCAAUCCUCUGUUUCAUGAAAACAUACUUGGAUAUGACCUAUGCUAUUGUGAAUGAAACUUAGCAAGGAAGAACUGUCCAUCAAUCAUUUUAACUAAGUUCACCUUUUGUUGCCAUUUAAGUAUAAUUUUGUCCUAAGAAAUUCAUAGUGAGUGAUUGUGAUUACAUUUUCCUCAUCUACAUGCCUCUGACAUUCUUGCUGAAGAUGCUAAUCUUGUAUAAAG